This 74-nucleotide transfer RNA is filed under the name Caudoviricetes sp. Its description in RNAcentral is "tRNA-Gln". It matches the Rfam family "tRNA". From Rfam's summary of the family: Transfer RNA (tRNA) molecules are approximately 80 nucleotides in length. Their secondary structure includes four short double-helical elements and three loops (D, anti-codon, and T loops). The record is from RNAcentral. Lineage: Duplodnaviria; Heunggongvirae; Uroviricota; Caudoviricetes.
AGGACUAUGGUGUAGCGGUAACACAUGUGACUUUGACUCACAUAUCUGAGGUUCGAAUCCUUGUAGUCCUGCCA